Long non-coding RNA from Herpailurus yagouaroundi (jaguarundi), 404 nucleotides. RefSeq lists it as uncharacterized. The transcript is spliced from 3 exons. The record is from RefSeq and is a predicted model, not a curated record. Lineage: Eukaryota; Metazoa; Chordata; Mammalia; Carnivora; Felidae.
UUCUCAUCAGCUGCCUGGAGCUUCCUCAGCCGCAUCCUUUCUCUUGGUGUCAUUUUCUGGACUUCAGACAGCGCCCGCAGAGUCUGCAGAGUCAUCUCCGAAUAUCUACACAUCAGGUGCUAAAAUAGAAAACAACCCUGAUGCAUCUUAAAUACUCCUCUUCAGGGAUGAAAGGGCAUAAAACUACCAGGGGUCUUUUCUGAUGUGCAGUAUUAAUGACCAUGCCUGGGAGCUUGAAAAUAAAACCCACUGUGUUCCUGAUAAUGUAUGAUUACUUUUUCUUGGGUACUGGGUCCUCUUCCCAGCAAUCAAAUUGCAAAAUACGGGAGCCAUAGGCCUUCCUUUCAGCACCUCCAGCAUCAGCACUGUGACCAGCACACAACUGAUGGGUGCACAUCAAGUCA